AUAGUAAAACAGAGGAAUGUUUUGCCCUGUGACAUGAGUCAGCAUAAGCCUGCUUAUGCUAAAAGAGUCUCUCGUUACUUCCCAUAGUCCAUAAAAGUAGGUAAUGAAAAAAAUGUCAGAAAAACUGUGUGUACUAAUAAAAAAAAAAAAAAAGUGUGAUUUAUUGAAUAUUAACAUGUUUUGUGCAGCCAUCUAUUAAAGUUGUUGCUACUUUUUAAUUUAAUUUUUUUUUUUUUUUUGAAAUGACUACAGAUCCACAGGAAGUUGCAAAAAUAGUAUAUAAAGUCCCUUGAACCAUUCCUCCAGUUUCCCCAGUGGUGAUAUGUACCUGUAGGACAGUAUCAAAACCAGGAAAUUAACAUUGGUACAACUAUUCAAGUUUACGCACCAACCAUCAAGGCCAGAGAUGAAGAAAUAGAAGAUUUUUAUCAGCUGCUGCAGUCUGAAACUGAUCAAACAUGUAAUCGGGAUGCUUUGAUAAUUACUGGUGAUGGAACCCGAAAGUUGGAAACAAAAAGGAUCGGAGCUGCCCAUUUAGCCUCAUGUAUCUACUUGAACUAAGAAGCACACUCGUCACAAGUAUUAUUUAAUGUUUUGUAGUCCAUUCACAGUGUAAUUGCUUGCUAAAAGAAUGAGAUGAGCAAACAUCACCCUCUCUCUUAGGUGUGUAUCCUCUAUGAUGUGCUGCUAUACUGAGAAGAUUAUAUU
Loxodonta africana (African savanna elephant) is the source of this 708-nucleotide long non-coding RNA. RefSeq lists it as uncharacterized. NCBI's taxonomy places the organism in Eukaryota, Metazoa, Chordata, Mammalia, Proboscidea, Elephantidae. The transcript is spliced from 2 exons. The record is from RefSeq and is a predicted model, not a curated record.